RNAcentral lists this ribosomal RNA (545 nucleotides) under Labidura riparia. Its description in RNAcentral is "partial 12S ribosomal RNA". The record is from RNAcentral. Lineage: Eukaryota; Metazoa; Arthropoda; Insecta; Dermaptera; Labiduridae.
GACGUGAGGAUAAAUUUAAUUAUAAUUAAAGGGAAGUUAAUUAUAUAUAAAAUUUAAAUUUAAUAUUUUAUUUAUAGGUGAAAUUAAUAAAUUAGAAUUAAUAAUUUAAACUUAAUGAAUCUUAAAAAUCUGUUUAAGAAACUAGGAUUAGAUACCCUAUUAUUGAAGAUAAAUUUUAAACCUUGGAGUAGUAUCAGCUAUGGACUUGAAACUUAAAAAAUUUGGCGGUAUUCUAGCCCAGUCAGAGGAAUUUGUCUCGUAAUCGAUGUUCCACGAAACAUGUACCAAUUUUUAUUUAGUUUGUAUACCGUCGUCGUAAGAAAAUCUUUAAAAAGUAAAUUUUCUUAAGGUUAUAAAAAAAAAUAAGUCAGAUCAAGGUGCAGCUUAUAAAUUGGAGAAGGUGAGUUACAAUCCUUUAAGGAUACGGUUAUUAAGUUUUAAGACUUAAUUUAAGGUGGAUUUGACUGUAAAUUAUUUUAUAAAGAAUAAUUGAGGAGCGCUCUAGAAUAUGCACACAUCGCCCGUCACUCUCGUUGAAAUUUGAG